ACGAACAAGGUCGACGUGUACAGUUUUGGCGUCGUUCUAUGGGAGUUGUUAACUAAUCGAAUGCCAUUCGAAGGCAUGUCUAACUUACAAGCUGCUUAUGCUGCUGCUUUUAAGGUAAAGACCUAACCUAACCUGACCUAACCUAACCUCUUUUUUAUUACUAAGUGGCACUGAUCCUAUCUGCACUGCUGCUGUGCUGAUUGCUCAUUAAAAAAAAAGCAAAUUAGACCAACAUUGGCGGAGGACAUGCCAUCUGAGCUCGCAUGUAUCAUCCAAUCAUGCUGGACGGAGGAUCCCAA
RNAcentral lists this long non-coding RNA (299 nucleotides) under Zostera marina. RNAcentral's name for it is "long non-coding RNA (ZMAR_LNC002535)". Lineage: Eukaryota; Viridiplantae; Streptophyta; Magnoliopsida; Alismatales; Zosteraceae. The record is from RNAcentral.